Long non-coding RNA from Cygnus atratus (black swan), 1848 nucleotides. RefSeq lists it as uncharacterized. The record is from RefSeq and is a predicted model, not a curated record. The transcript is spliced from 11 exons. NCBI's taxonomy places the organism in Eukaryota, Metazoa, Chordata, Aves, Anseriformes, Anatidae.
UUACAUCACAUUAAUGUCUGAUUAUAAGUGGUUAUUUAUACAGCCAGGACUUCAUAAUGGUUACAAUUGCAUCCUGCAUCGUGUAGAAAAGGACUGAUUUUGUGAGCGGCCUGGCUCCUCCGUGAGGCAGGCUCGGUUCUAGGCUACAUGUAGGGUAGCCAGGAGGCGUCUGCAUAGCAGUUGAGGUCAGCACCAGGAAGGAGGCUGCUGAGCUUUGAGCUGAAGAGGCUGAGGAUUGCUUGAACGCUGUUCUCCCAGCUUUGCUGAUGAGAUGGGGACCUCUGACAGAGGGGAGGUGACAAACGGACUACCAGUCAGUUGCCAAAACUGUUUUGCCUGAAGGAAGAACUUGAAAUACUAUACAGAAUUGUAGAAGACGACGGAAAGGAUGAGGGACAUCCAGGCUUUCUGAGAAUGAAGGAGAGCCAUCAUUUUGCCUUGCCAGGAUGGCUUCUGGUAGGACUUUUCGAAGGUGCGAUGAAAAUUGCCCAAGUCUGGAUGCAACUGUUCUCAAGCAGCUAUUGGCUUUCCUUUACAUUUCUAGCAUCUAUGCUGGAAGAUGCAACAGCUCUGGGGAGUAUGAAAGAAUCUUCUUGAUACCUGUGGGAGUUGCAUGCACAGCCAGAUGUAAUAAGCUCUGCAGGUGAAAAUUCUGAAAAUAGUUGUCCGCAUACAAGUGUGGCUUCAGCCUACAGCUAGUAUUAUGAAGUUAAUGAAAUACGUACUUUCAAAUCUCCUGAGAUAUUGGCUCCUGCGAGAAUGCCAGUGGCAGCUGGGAAAAAAAUGGCAAACACCGAGAAAAAUCCUUCUCCACCUCUGAAAUCUGGUCCAAAGUUUUCUGCAAAUAUUGAUGCUGCAAAUAUAGGUGAAAAUGAAACAUGCUAACAGGAUUUGAUUCCAGAGUUACUGAAUGAAGAAGCAACAGAGAUGCCAAGAAGACAUACAACAGUUAUGGUACCUAUGAUUCUGAUGUCAUUGGACUCAUCUACCAUUAUUGUAUCACUCUCCUGGAAAGAGUAAAAAAUAUUGUUAUGACCAGUCUUUCUUGGCCCAGCUGGUGGGAUCAGGUAACAAGUGAAAAUAUUUGCUCAUCUUUGAAGAAGUAGCUGAAAUGUAAGGAGUAUUAUAAAGAAUUAUACGAGAAAGUAUUAAAUUGAAGAUACCACUGAUCUGCAUCAGUCUUCAAAAAGGAAGAGUGCUUCGUGCUCAGUUUGUCAAAGGAUGUCCAACCUGGAAGGCUCUGAAUAUUAAAGACCUGCUGAAAGCUGUUGUCUCAUCUCCAGCAGUGCUUUCUCCAUUAGCCACUCUUUCCACUGAGCCGGUGCUCACGGCUAUGUUCUGAAGGAUCACACAGAAAACAAGCACAUUUUUGUAUCAAGCAGAGGACACCUGGUUGUAUAAGAGGGACAUGGAAGAAGGAAUUCCAAAGAAGAUCAAGUUUUACUGUUUGUAGAGUAGAGUGCAAUACUCUUCUGACACCAAGCAUCAACAGAAGUUUAGCCUUCAUCUCUCCUGGGGAUAAAGAUGAUGAGCUCAUCAAGUCUUCAUAAAACAAAUGUGGUAAAUAGCCAAGAGGAAGAAAGGUUAGAUGAUUUCUUAUGUAAGGAUACAGGGCAGAAAACAUACUAUAGCUACUGAAGGAAAUAUGGUAAGUGAUUAGUUGUACUUUCUCUCUUGGGCAAGGUCCAUGAAUUUAAGGACUUUCUCAUAUUAAUAAACAGAAUUAACAGCCUGAACAGAGAAAAAUUGUAUCUUUCCUUUCCACUUACCUUUGCUAGUUGUUCAUGAAUUUCUAAUAAGCUUGGUCUGUUGAGCUUAUUCCCACUGACACUGCCAGUGUUUCUAUAG